GGCGGGCAGGUGGCAGCUUCCUCUCGCGCGGGGCCCUCCCAGCGCGCCGCACGCAGGCGGGACCGCCGCCACUCGCCGCCUGUGCGCGCCACGCUCCACAGCCUUCCGCCGCGCCGACGCGCCACCAGUAUGGGGCUUCGAACGACAAUAGCACGAAUAGAAACCAAAAGACAGGAAUCUUGUGUUGAUGAGGACUGGAGAGAGAUAUCUUCACAGUUAAAUGUGUAGUGAGGAAUGGUAACUCCACCACCGUUGGCGUGCAACUAUAAAUUUUUGCCAACGGUUGCGGAGUUCCUUAACCUCACUACAUUGGAUCAACAUGGUUCGUGCAGUAAGGACAAUAAAGAUCACCAGAGUUCUUAUGGAAAAAUAGAAGCAAAGUUGCUGAAUGGAACUAGUCUAAGUUGGUAGUUGUAUGUGCAUCGAUAGUUUGUAGUACAUAAACAUUCUGACUGUCUUCAUUGUGAAAUUGUCUGUUGAAAUAAAGAACAAUUUUCUGCCCCUUUCAUAAAUA
Molecule: long non-coding RNA, 514 nt
Filed under: Schistocerca americana (American grasshopper)
Lineage: Eukaryota; Metazoa; Arthropoda; Insecta; Orthoptera; Acrididae
Description: uncharacterized LOC124556194, transcript variant X1
Rfam family: mir-2765 microRNA precursor family (bases 222-311)
Source: RNAcentral